Molecule: ribosomal RNA, 492 nt
Filed under: uncultured bacterium
Lineage: Bacteria
Description: partial 16S ribosomal RNA
Rfam family: Bacterial small subunit ribosomal RNA
Source: RNAcentral
AUUGAACGCUAGCGGGAUGCUUUACACAUGCAAGUCGAACGGCAGCACGAAAAGAGCUUGCUCUUUUUGGUGGCGAGUGGCGAACGGGUGAGUAAUGUAUCGGAACGUACCCAGUAGCGGGGGAUAACUACGCGAAAGCGUGGCUAAUACCGCAUACGCCCUACGGGGGAAAGGGGGGGAUCGCAAGACCUCUCACUAUUGGAGCGGCCGAUAUCGGAUUAGCUAGUUGGUGGGGUAAAGGCUCACCAAGGCAACGAUCCGUAGCUGGUUUGAGAGGACGACCAGCCACACUGGGACUGAGACACGGCCCAGACUCCUACGGGAGGCAGCAGUGGGGAAUUUUGGACAAUGGGGGAAACCCUGAUCCAGCCAUCCCGCGUGUGCGAUGAAGGCCUUCGGGUUGUAAAGCACUUUUGGCAGGGAAGAAACGGCGCUGACUAAUACUUGGCGCAACUGACGGUACCUGCAGAAUAAGCACCGGCUAACUACGUG